GAUGAACGCUAGCUACAGGCUUAACACAUGCAAGUCGAGGGGUAGCAUGGUCUUAGCUUGCUAAGGCCGUUGGCGACCGGCGCACGGGUGAGUAACACGUAUCCAACCUGCCGUCUACUCUUGGACAGCCUUCUGAAAGGAAGAUUAAUACAAGAUGGCAUCAUGAGUCCGCAUGUUCACAUGAUUAAAGGUAUUCCGGUAGACGAUGGGGAUGCGUUCCAUUAGAUAGUAGGCGGGGUAACGGCCCACCUAGUCUUCGAUGGAUAGGGGUUCUGAGAGGAAGGUCCCCCACAUUGGAACUGAGACACGGUCCAAACUCCUACGGGAGGCAGCAGUGAGGAAUAUUGGUCAAUGGGCGAGAGCCUGAACCAGCCAAGUAGCGUGAAGGACGACUGCCCUAUGGGUUGUAAUCUUCUUUUAUAAAGGAAUAAAGUCGGGUAUGGAUACCCGUUUGCAUGUACUUUAUGAAUAAGGAUCGGCUAACUCCGUG
Molecule: ribosomal RNA, 490 nt
Filed under: uncultured bacterium
Lineage: Bacteria
Description: partial 16S ribosomal RNA
Rfam family: Bacterial small subunit ribosomal RNA
Source: RNAcentral